GAUCAUGGCUCAGGAUGAACGCUAGCGAUAGGCUUAACACAUGCAAGUCGAGGGGCAGCACGGUGUAGCAAUACACUGGUGGCGACCGGCGUACGGGUGCGUAACACGUAUGCAACCUACCCGCUAUUGGGGGAUAACCCGGCGAAAGUCGGACUAAUACCCCAUAUUAUUCUUACCGGGCAUCCGGUAGGUCUGAAAGAUUUAUCGAUUGCGGAUGGGCAUGCGGAUGAUUAGCUAGUAGGUGGGGUAACGGCUCACCUAGGCGACGAUCAUUAGGGGUUCUGAGAGGAAGGUCCCCCCACACUGGAACUGAGACACGGUCCAGACUCCUACGGGAGGCAGCAGUGAGGAAUAUUGGUCAAUGGGCGCUAGCCUGAACCAGCCAAGUCGCGUGAAGGAUGAACCAGAUCUAUGGUUUGUAAACUUCUUUUGCAGGGGAGUAAAGUGCGACACGUGUGUUGUAUUGCAAGUACCCUGCGAAUAAGCAUCGGCUAACUCCGUGCCAGCCGCGGC
This 513-nucleotide ribosomal RNA is filed under the name uncultured bacterium. RNAcentral's name for it is "bacterial SSU rRNA". It matches the Rfam family "Bacterial small subunit ribosomal RNA", at positions 15 to 518 of the family's 1533-position model. The record is from RNAcentral.